UUUGACAACUCUAGAGAUAGAGCCUUCCCCUUCGGGGGACAAAGUGACAGGUGGUGCAUGGUUGUCGUCAGCUCGUGUCGUGAGAUGUUGGGUUAAGUCCCGCAACGAGCGCAACCCUUAAGCUUAGUUGCCAUCAUUAAGUUGGGCACUCUAAGUUGACUGCCGGUGACAAACCGGAGGAAGGUGGGGAUGACGUCAAAUCAUCAUGCCCCUUAUGAUUUGGGCUACACACGUGCUACAAUGGACAAUACAAAGGGCAGCGAAACCGCGAGGUCAAGCAAAUCCCAUAAAGUUGUUCUCAGUUCGGAUUGUAGUCUGCAACUCGACUACAUGAAGCUGGAAUCGCUAGUAAUCGUAGAUCAGCAUGCUACGGUGAAUACGUUCCCGGGUCUUGUACACACCGCCCGUCACACCACGAGAGUUUGUAACACCCGAAGCCGGUGGAGUAACCUUUUAGGAGCUAGCCGUCGAAGGUGGGACAAAUGAUUGGGGUGAAGUCGUAACAAGGUAGCCGUAUCGGAAGGUGCGGCUGGAUCACCUCCUUU
RNAcentral lists this ribosomal RNA (545 nucleotides) under Staphylococcus aureus. RNAcentral describes it as "bacterial SSU rRNA". It matches the Rfam family "Bacterial small subunit ribosomal RNA", at positions 990 to 1533 of the family's 1533-position model. Lineage: Bacteria; Bacillati; Bacillota; Bacilli; Caryophanales; Staphylococcaceae. The record is from RNAcentral.